UACAGAGGUCUCAAGCGUUGUUCGGAUUCAUUGGGCGUAAAGGGCGCGUAGGCGGCGGGGUAAGUCGGGUGUGAAAUCUCAGAGCUCAACUCUGAAACUGCACUCGAUACUGCUCUGCUUGAGGACUGGAGAGGAGACUGGAAUUCACGGUGUAGCAGUGAAAUGCGUAGAUAUCGUGAGGAAGACCAGUGGCGAAGGCGGGUCUCUGGGACGGUACUGACGCUGAGACGCGAAAGCGUGGGGAGCGAACAGG
Molecule: ribosomal RNA, 253 nt
Filed under: uncultured bacterium
Lineage: Bacteria
Description: partial 16S ribosomal RNA
Rfam family: Bacterial small subunit ribosomal RNA
Source: RNAcentral